UACGUAGGGGGCUAGCGUUGCUCGGAAUUACUGGGCGUAAAGCGCACGUAGGCGGCUUUCUAAGUCGGGGGUGAAAUCCUGGAGCUCAACUCCAGAACUGCCUUCGAUACUGGAGAGCUCGAGUCCGGGAGAGGUGAGUGGAACUGCGAGUGUAGAGGUGAAAUUCGUAGAUAUUCGCAAGAACACCAGUGGCGAAGGCGGCUCACUGGCCCGAUACUGACGCUGAGGCACGAAAGCGUGGGGAGCAAACAGG
This 253-nucleotide ribosomal RNA is filed under the name uncultured bacterium. RNAcentral describes it as "partial 16S ribosomal RNA". It matches the Rfam family "Bacterial small subunit ribosomal RNA", at positions 524 to 776 of the family's 1533-position model. The record is from RNAcentral.